CAGGGAGCUUUUAAAAAUGGCGGCCGCUGCGUUACCUGCGGUGCCCGAGAAAUUAAAGUCAGUGCUUCCUUACGUAAAAAUAGCAACCGAGCAUGACUCCAGGGACCCAAUCAUCGCCUACUGGUGCCGACUCUAUGCGCUGCAGACUGGUAUGAAGGUUGACAGAUCUUCCUCUGAAAGCAGGGGAUUCCUCAUGGCCUACAUGGAUUGGUUGGAGAAGGAAAAAGCCAAGAGGAAAGACGAAGAAGCCAUCACAAGCGACGUUGUUGCCCAGGCACACAUUGAGACUAGAGCGCUGAAACUAUUUCUUUGGGCAGAUGGUGAGGACAGGGCAGCACGCUUUAACAAGAAUGUCAUCAAGGCGUUCUACACAGCUGCAUACCUUUUUGAUGUGCUCACAACUUUUGGAGAACUAACAGAUGAGGUUUCCAACCAUCGGAAGUAUGCAAGAUGGAAGGCAGCAUACAUUCACCGAUGCCUCAAGAACGGUGAAGUACCAGUUCCAGGACCUCUGAAGGGCGAAGAUGAAGGAUUUGAAGAAGAUGCUGGUGCUGUCGGUGGCAACCCAAGCCCUUCAAAUGGACCAACUGGAGCAGUGGGAGGCAGCGACGGCUUUCCACCACUACCUCCAGGGUUUGCAGUCGGAGGUGCCACUGCUUCUGGAUUCUCGGAGCCCGGUCCCAGCAGUGCCCGGUCAUCUUAUGGUGACCAUCAGCCUAUGCCGUCGUCUCUUCCUGUUCCCACCCCAGGGUCUCAGGCCCCCCCUUCUACACCCAGCGGUUCCACGCAGCCUUCACCAUCAGUAGCCCCGAUUGAUGAUAUUCGGGCUGCAAAUGGGGUGGCUUUGAACUCUGAAGACUUUCUCAAAGCUCAGAAGUACUGCAAGUUUGCCGGCAGCGCGCUGCAGUACGAAGACGUUCCGACAGCGAUUGAAAACCUGCAGAAGGCGCUCAGGUUGCUUACCACAGGCUCAGAGGGACCCUGAUGGCUCUUUCUUCGGGACCUGAUGACACAACCUUGUGACGCUCCCUUCCCACCUGAACACCUAGCAUAGGAUGGUCCCCGCCCUCCUCUUCAAACAACUGUCCCUCAGCGUCCUGCUAUGUCUGGUGCAAAGUCAUUUUGUGUCUGUGUUUGUAGCCACCUUAGAGCUUGCUUCUACUACAAGAGCUUGGCGCUCCCACGUCGUUAGACGGGGUGCAUCUCUCCUGUUUUUUUUUUUUUAGUUUUUUUUUUCUUUUGCUUUCUCUUCAGUGGGCGGACAGAAGUUGUAAGGCAUUCCUGCAUGCAGCCAGCGCACAGCUAGUUCUUGUCAAAGAUGAUGUGGAGAUUGGAGAGCAAUCAUCUGGCCAGCGACUGUUGCUUCAUAUUAGCUAUAGGCAGGUAAACUCAAGCACUUGUGAUAGCAUGUAUGUGUUAUCGGAGGUUUACAUAGACAGCACCUUUAUUUGGCAGGCUGCUCUACUUUAUCAAAAUUGUUGUGCGUGCAAAUGAAUUUCGUUGGUUUGCUUCGACCGGUUUGUGGUUUAUUGUUCAGCUGGUAUUGGUCAUGUGUUCAUUGCUCACAUGUUUGGCCAGCUUGAACAUGAUUGCUAUGGCUAUGUUGCACUUGUUGAUCUCGCUUGACACAAAGUUUUGAUGCGCCACCUUUUUAUACUAGAUGAAGAGCUUAUAGUGAACACACUAAAAUUAGGCUUGAGUGAGUACAGAAGAGGCUGAAACAUGGAUGAUAAUUAUUGCCUGCAAUGUUACUUUGAAAUGAUUGGCUUUGGCUUUCAAUUGGCAUUUUGAUUUCAGUUGUCUACUGGUGUUUCUGUAAUCUUGCUAAAGAGAGUAAGGUGUUUGAGGAGAUGUCUUAGGCUUUAUAAGUUAGAUUAGUGAACAAUUGCAGCAUCUUUAAUACUGUUAGUAUCUAGCAGCAACAGAAAAAGGUGACUCCGAUUAGCCACUAGAUUCUUUAUUUUUUAUGUUUAGUGAAUACAAGCGGCCUGCUGGCAUGCUUUCAUUGGCUAUAUAAUUCAUGUAACGCAGCUUUCAAAAAUUCAAGCAGUUCAAAGUGUGUAGCAGUUAAGUAACUCUCGUCACUUUUCUGCUUUUUGCUACUACUAUUUUAAUACUGGAGACAUUUUCUGAUGCUAAGGAAAAUUAGUUGUAGUAGCAAAGCUAUAUGUGAUGCACGUCUUUGAUGAAGGAGAAACUGUAGUGGCACUUGUGAAGGGGGGAAAAAGAAAAGAGUGUUGUCUGCCGAUCCGGACAUAUCGAGGUAAUUUAUUUUCUUAAUUUUCUGUGCUUGCCUGUGCCUACAUUUUCGCACUGAAUGGUUGAAAAACAGUUUUAUUUGGAUGCUUUAUUCUUGCAAGGUAUACAUUGACUUAGAAUGAACAAGUGAGUUGUGCCGGAGAAACAGUGUUUGUUGUUUAAAAAAAAUGUAUCUUUGGGAAUUUUUCUUCCUUUCUGAAUAAACUGUGUAAGCACAGGU
RNA transcript from Dermacentor silvarum, 2479 nucleotides. It is a transcript of the gene named vacuolar protein sorting-associated protein VTA1 homolog, with no coding region annotated. The record is from RefSeq and is a predicted model, not a curated record. The transcript is spliced from 8 exons. Lineage: Eukaryota; Metazoa; Arthropoda; Arachnida; Ixodida; Ixodidae.